RNAcentral lists this long non-coding RNA (4504 nucleotides) under Podarcis lilfordi (Lilford's wall lizard). Lineage: Eukaryota; Metazoa; Chordata; Lepidosauria; Squamata; Lacertidae. The record is from RNAcentral.
UGCCUUUGGUUUAAUUCUAAUGACCAAGCACUGAUGGUUUUUAAAUCACAUUAUUGUAAACUGAAAGGAACAACUGUGUUAAGGUAGGAAUCCACUUUAUGAUGGUGGCUGGGUUUAUCUCUGUGUUGGUGAAAUGUGUAUUGGUGCCUGCAUUCCUGGAUGGAUCUGCCAUUUUAUUAGUAGUAAUGAAAUUGCCCAGGUAGGCAGGCCCACCCGCCCCCAUCCCCCGUUAUCACCAGUUUCACAUUUGCUGCUCUCAGCUCACAUUACAGAUUUAAUAGUCAACCCCUUUGCCCAGAGAACUCUGGUAACCAUAGUUCUGCUUGGGGAGUUCUCACAUAAAAUUUUCAGCACCCCCAGUAAGCUAUGAUUCACAGGAUUCUUUGAAGGGAGCUGGAACAGUAAAAGUGGCAUAAAAGUAAUAAAAAUGUGUAGAUAAUGUCUUCAGUGCCUGUUGGUGGCCCAGUGACGGUUGCCACUUUUCCUUACAAUGCUGCACAUUCCAUGAAUAGGCAUAAGAGGAAAUGGCACCUGGCACUGAGGAACUACCAUUCAUUAGAAGCAGCCGAAAGGGGCACACAGGCAUGGGCUGGGGAAGAUAUUGGAGACCCAGCAAACAGUGGCGUAGCGUGGGGGGUGCAGGGGGGGCCGGGCGCAACAUCUGGGGGGGGGCGCUCGCACUCACAGCUCUCUGCCCCUACUAAAAUCCACGGGUUAGGGGGCGCAAAUUACUUGCCUUGCCUCGGGUGCUGACAACCCACGCUACGCCACUGCCAGCAGAACAAGGGCACUGAUAGCAUCUGAUAAUGGCUGCGGGCUGUCUUUGCAAGGAACAAGGAUAUGAGAAAUGUAGUUGCAAUUGCUAGUGCUCACCACCAGGUGGCACCAUUGCUGAACAGAGGGGAAACAAACAGGCACAAUAAGAGACUUGGAGUUAUAUCCCCCUUAUUAACGUCUCAUUUUGUCCCAUCAGUCAGACUGGGUCAUGUAAUCUGUUAGUGGCAUUUAGUGCAGCCAAGGAGGGGUUUCCUCCCUAGUGAAAGAAGUGCAGAAAUCUGUUUCGUAGCAAUUCUAUACUCUUACCUCUUCAGUAAAUCCCAUUGAAUUUGUUGGGACUUCUGGGUAGAGGGGUGUAGGUUUGCACUGUUACUCAAUGUUACUUGUGAAAAUGUUCUUGCAUUGAAUGCCAGUAAUGCAAAACUGGUUGAAAUCUCCCUUGUGAAACAGCCUGUUACUGACAAGCAAGCACUCUUGCUUCUCCUUACAGCCCCUGCUGCUCUCUCCCCCUCCAAUGUUCCUCCUAAACAGAUCUGCAGUAUCUGGGAGCCCCAUCUGAAGACCCUUAGAAGUACCACUGCUGUGGGUUCCCCCCACCCACCCUUUCCUCUGCCCCUGCCGCAACUCCAACACAUGUCUGGUAGAGCCAACGCGGACGGGGUGGAAAGGGCGAUCUUAACCUAAACUUCAUUGAAUUGCUGUGGAGUCUUAGUCUGCCACACAUCUACACACCACCCUCCCAGGAUAGAGGCUAUUGCCUUUUGCUUUUUAGGUAAGACACACACACACACACACACACACACACACACACACACACAAAAAAAACCCUGAGCUAUGGGGAGAUCUCAUUAUCCUUCACAAACCUUUGGGAGAUCAUUGUAAUGAGCCAGUGUCAGUGAUUUGCUAGUGUCAGUGAUUUGCUAGAGGAAAUGCUUGAGGAAGCUUUGCCCUGCCUACCUGCCACUGAUGGGAUUCACUUUAACAAAAGCUACCCCUUGGCCUUCUCUCCCGUCAAGACGCACUCCUUGCUGGCCUCGCUUCACAAGUGUUUCUGCCAGGUUGGACUGUGUCCUUGAGCUCUAAUAAUGCAUCUAUAAUAAUAAUUUAUUAUUUAUACCCCGCCCAUCUGGCCGGGUUUCCCCAGCCACUCUGGGUGGCUCCCAACAGAUUAAAAACAGAAUAAAACAUUAAACAUUAAAAACUUCCCUAAACAGGGCUGCCUUCAGAGGUCUUCUAAAAGUCAGAUAGUUGUUUAUUUCCUUGACAUCUGGUGGGAGGGCAUUCCACAGGGUGGGCACCACCACCAAGAAGGCCCUCUGCCUGGUUCCCUGUAACCUCACAUCUCGCAGUGAGGGAACCGCCAGAAAGCCCAAGGAGCUGGACCUCAGUAUCUGGGCUGAACAUUGCGGAUGGAGACGCUCCUUCAGGUAUCUUGCUUAGCUGGCUGGAAGAUAGAGAGGUGUCUGAGUAUAUAUGGAAAUUAGCCUACUGUACAAAAGUGAGAUCUGCAUUGACAGUCAUUGCUCUGCUCACUUUUGCAUCUGGCCCUGCCUACCAUUGGCACAUGGCCCACAGAAGUUAAUGCAGGCUGAAAAGCCAUUCCCCACUCCUGCCUUAAUCUCUCCCAAGAUUAACUGACAAAGGCAUGUGAGACAGGAGGCUUAUAUAGGACAACAUGUGUUUACCAUGUGAAAGUACUGUACCUGCAGGGUUAUGCAGAUACUUCACAGAGACAAUGGUGCUACCCAGCUAAAUCCACCACAAUCUUCUACUGUUCCUAUUGGUCCAUGCCUGCUGAGUUAUUUGUCGGGGGUCUUUCUUACUUUGUCCACAAAGCAUGUGCUUUGAUCAUCCAUGGAGGUUCAGUACCAAAAGACUCUUCACCAUGCAGGCAUCCAGCAACGCCCCCAGCUCGAGUACAGUUGUUCUUGAGCAAGAUCGGAGUGUCAAAAAAAUGUACUUGGCCGUGGACAAUAUUCAGAUAAUUCUUCUCAACUUGGUAUUAGAAAGUCAGGAUCUUGCAGGGGCUGGCAACGCUCCAAUUUUCUAGCAACAAGAGGCUGCUCUUCCUCUCCGUGUUCUGUGGCCCAUGUGCCAAUUGCCUGUUUUUUCCACGUAGGCUGAAUUUUUGAUUAUUUUUUUUAACUCCAGCAGAAUGGGAGCCAAAAUGGAGCCUCUCCUCCCGUCACACUUCCCAGCAAAGGGAGAAUCUGGUGCUCCACUGGAGGUGCUUGUGCCGGAGCUCCUCCCUGUAUCGCCAACCCAAACGGUGUGGGGAGGAGCUGCAGAACAAACAUGGCCUUUGGGGCUUCCUAGGACACUCCAGCAGUGGGAAGAAAGCACCCUGCAAGAAGCAGCUCAUAGAGGAGGAAGGAUCUGUUGCUUAAUGACUGAGAGGCAUCUUAGGCCUGGUGGGUCACUGUUUUGGUACUCUCCUCCUGAGCAGCAGCAGGAGGCUUAAGCAGACUCCUUUCUACAGACCAGCAAUAAGAAGUCUUUAGACUAGUGGUUAAGAAACCGCUGGAUUAAAAACAAUCUGGUGAGGACAUUCACAUUUUGACCAGACUAUCCCCUUACCCACUCCUCAGUGCAUUAAAUGUAUAAAACCAUUCAUCCAUAGUUUGUUACCGAUCAAGAUCAGGGUGAGGGCAGCAGGGACACGGCGACAUCAGAAGUAAAUUAACCAAUCACUUUCUUCUUCUCCUGGUCUUAUCAGGUGGCAUUGGAGAGAAGGGCUGUGUAUGUGUCAAAUAUUUUCACUGGUACAUUCACAUCCGUGCUGAGAAUCCGAUAUGCAUAAUCCUUUGUAACAGUAGCACUCUUUACAUUACAGUUUUAAUGGUUUUAUUGUUUAAAACUGCUACAACUACUUACUUUUAUCGAUAUAGCACUUUUUUUUUUAAUCCCAAAGUGCUUCACAGUAUUGGGGUGGGCAAGGGGACUACCAGCAUUAAAGAGUAGGAGUUCUAUAGCAAGGUGUUACCUGCCCAUGUUUGAACUGGUAUCAUAGACAUCACCUGGACUGGCCAGCUCAGCAUCUUCAUGCUACUCGCCUGUCUCGGGAAAUGUUCUCCCUACCUGCACCAAUUACAUACUCUCCCCAAAUAGAAGGAUGAUUAACAACUGGGUGUUUUCCUGCAUCUGAUGGAGGGAGCUCUUCCAGUGCUUCUGACCUAGGAGGAAAUUCUUCUUCCUUAGAACCGGAACAUGAAGCCAUAUCUCUCUAGCCAUUUGGGGAGCCAAAAAUAAAAUCAAGGGUGGAUAUGGAGCCAGCUUUUAAAGUCUGGCUGUUUCAAGGGGCUGGGAAUGAGUUCUCCAAGGAAAAUUCAUAAGCCUUUUGUCUUUUUGUUGUUGUUUAAAGAAAAAGCUCAAAGCCUGUAAAUAAAAGUUUUGUCCCACCACUGUGAGCCUUAAGGAAGAUAAAGCACUAAUUUGUUUUGUUUUAAAUGUUGCUAUCACAGCUUUAAUCACUGUAUAUUGCCCUCAAUUUCAGAGUCAUAUCUGUAGUGCGUACUAUAUUAAUGAAGUUUUAUUGUUAUUUUGCUUUGGUGGAGGAUAUGUGUGGUUGCUUUUCCCCCUACCAUCUGCUUUUCUGAUCUGUAUUUAUAUUUUGUUUUGGAGUGCUGGUGCCAAGAACGCCUCUACUUCUUGUUUUGCUUACCUAGACCUUUUAUUCAUAAGAAAUGUACCUAUAAAAAUAAAUAUAUAAGUAUACUACUUUGUAUCC